Molecule: long non-coding RNA, 730 nt
Filed under: Pan troglodytes (chimpanzee)
Lineage: Eukaryota; Metazoa; Chordata; Mammalia; Primates; Hominidae
Description: long non-coding RNA NONPTRT009389
Source: RNAcentral
CCAAUCUCCGCCGGCAAAGCAGAGGCUUUGGGGAAUUACAGAAAAACUAUAAUGAUCUAAAAGAGAACAAGUUAUCUUGAACUGUGCGGGUAUUUGAAUCAUACAGAAAAUUGUCCUGUGUGUCCAAUGCACUUUUGCAUGUAGAGCCAGGGCCUUCGAGGAAGCUUUCAGGAGAUCCCGGGCAGCGGAGUCUGGUCUGGAGUUUCAUUUCCGUAGGUGCAGAUUUCUCCCCAAGCCUUCCCGCCAUGGGCUUUGCAAGAAGCCAGGGCCCAGAGGCCACGCUCACCGUUAACACUGCACAGGGCAAAGAUGGCUCCAGGACAACUGCCCAACCCCAGGAACGACCCAGCAGCAGAGAAAAGGACAGCUGCCAGGUUGUAAAUGCUGCCGCCACGAGGCCUGGGAGGAAGGACCCGCUGGUGAGAGCACAGGGAGUGCUGCUGUGAUCACGGUGGUGAUGCGGGGUUUUUAGUUGCCGAAUAGGGAAGGGUUUGCGAAGCCGCUGCCCUGGGCCGAGGUGCAUUUUACGCUUCCAGAGGUCGAGGCCUCCAGAGACCGCGAUGCCCAGGGCGUUCCCGGGGAGGCUGAGAGACCCAGGGUGCUCUGGGUGACUGCACGGCGACUCCUCGGGAACCCACUCGUGGCUGCCCGCUUGGAAGGGCUUUGCGGCUCCGGGAACGAUCUCCAGGAUCUCCACGGCUGGUCAGGUUCCCUGUCCCUCGUAUCCCGC